UUCGGGAACUGUAAGACAGGUGCUGCAUGGCUGUCGUCAGCUCGUGUUGUGAAAUGUUGGGUUAAGUCCCGCAACGAGCGCAACCCUUAUCCUUAGUUGCCAGCGAUUCGGUCGGGAACUCUAGGGAGACUGCCGGUGAUAAACCGGAGGGAGGUGGGGACGACGUCAAGUCAUCAUGGCCCUUACGAGUAGGGCUACACACGUGCUACAAUGGUAUGUACAGAGGGAGGCACGCUGGCGACAGUGAGCGGAUCUCUUAAAGCAUAUCGUAGUCCGGAUUGGAGUCUGCAACUCGACUCCAUGAAGUCGGAAUCGCUAGUAAUCGCAAAUCAGAAUGUUGCGGUGAAUACGUUCCCGGGCCUU
This 363-nucleotide ribosomal RNA is filed under the name uncultured Alishewanella sp. RNAcentral describes it as "bacterial SSU rRNA". It matches the Rfam family "Bacterial small subunit ribosomal RNA", at positions 1019 to 1382 of the family's 1533-position model. Lineage: Bacteria; Pseudomonadati; Pseudomonadota; Gammaproteobacteria; Alteromonadales; Alteromonadaceae. The record is from RNAcentral.